Nannospalax galili (Upper Galilee mountains blind mole rat) is the source of this 106-nucleotide small nuclear RNA. NCBI's taxonomy places the organism in Eukaryota, Metazoa, Chordata, Mammalia, Rodentia, Spalacidae. The record is from Ensembl.
GUGCUUGCUUCAGCAGUACAUAUACUAAAAUUGGAACCAUACAGAGAGAUUAUCAUGGCCCCUGUGCAAGGAUGACAUGUAAAUUCGUGAAAUGUUCCAUAUUUUU